GACGAACGCUGGCGGCGUGCUUAACACAUGCAAGUCGAACGGAAAGGCCCUGCUUUUGUGGGGUGCUUGAGUGGCGAACGGGUGAGUAACACGUGAGUAACCUGCCCUUGACUUUGGGAUAACUUCAGGAAACUGGGGCUAAUACCGGAUAGGAGCUCCUGCUGCAUGGUGGGGGUUGGAAAGUUUCGGCGGUUGGGGAUGGACUCGCGGCUUAUCAGCUUGUUGGUGGGGUAGUGGCUUACCAAGGCUUUGACGGGUAGCCGGCCUGAGAGGGUGACCGGCCACAUUGGGACUGAGGUACGGCCCAGACGCCUACGGGAGGCAGCAGUGGGGAAUAUUGCACAAUGGGCGGAAGCCUGAUGCAGCAACGCCGCGUGCGGGAUGACGGCCUUCGGGGUGUAAACCGCUUUCGCCUGUGACGAAGCGUGAGUGACGGUAAUGGGUAAAGAAGCACCGGCUAACUACGUG
This 468-nucleotide ribosomal RNA is filed under the name uncultured bacterium. RNAcentral's name for it is "partial 16S ribosomal RNA". It matches the Rfam family "Bacterial small subunit ribosomal RNA", at positions 28 to 507 of the family's 1533-position model. The record is from RNAcentral.